This 74-nucleotide transfer RNA is filed under the name Dehalococcoidia bacterium. RNAcentral describes it as "tRNA-Gly". It matches the Rfam family "tRNA". From Rfam's summary of the family: Transfer RNA (tRNA) molecules are approximately 80 nucleotides in length. Their secondary structure includes four short double-helical elements and three loops (D, anti-codon, and T loops). The record is from RNAcentral. Lineage: Bacteria; Bacillati; Chloroflexota; Dehalococcoidia.
GCGGGCGUAGCUCAAUGGUAGAACUCCAGCCUUCCAAGCUGGUCACGUGGGUUCGAUUCCCAUCGCCCGCUCCA